UUAUUACUAUUUCUGUCUCAUUGGUUGUUAGGAAUCUGUUUAAAUUGUUUAUUUUAAUUUUGGUUGUAUGCACCUAGAAGUUUAUUUUUUUUAAACAUUUUCUACUCUAACGAGUCUAAGUUUUUAAAGUCCAUCCUGAUGAUUUUUCUGCGUUUCAUCUUUAUCGGUUGUAACGUCUCCCUGUGUGGGGCAUGCGCAAGACUGCGCGUGCGCAUGUGGCGCCACGAGAGGAUAAUAGAUGUCGCUAUCAUUUUCCACAUUAUUACUUCGAGAUAGGGUCUCUCACUGAACCGGAAGCUUGCUAGUUCAGCAAGGCUGGCCGGUCAGUGAAAAUCUCAGGAUCUGCCAGUCCCUGGGGUUACAGACAGACGCAAGCCAGGCCUUGCUUUUUACACAGAUGCUGGGGAUUCAAAUCCAGGUCUUCUUAUGUGCACCAGAAAAGGCCCGUUGGUGAGGACAACUGCCUCUCAAUAACAUUCUGUUGACAAGAACAAACAUACUGACGUCAUUGACGCAACGGCCGUCUGAGAUGAGCAGCAAGGAGGUUGAUCUUGAGAAAAGAGCUCAGCUCACAAGCUCUCAGCUCACAGGAGCAGUGACCAGUCAACAUCUGAACAUGUCACUCAGGGUAGAUAGCCCAGUCUUCUCAAGGCUAAGAGCUCUACCAUCCUAAGGGAGGGGAACCCAACUUCUCAAACAAGCGGAAACAGUACUGUUCCAGCGGAAGUCGUGUCCACUGGGUCGAUGGGGUUGAGUAAACUGCACUCAGGUUGGUGAAUGGUCCCAACUGUAAACCGAGCAUACAACCAUGCUUUAUCUAAUCAAGAUUGAAUGUCUAAAGACUUCCCAGGAGUGUUAGUUUCAGUCAGUGAACAGCAGAAGACGUGCUUUAAAAAGAAAAAGCCAUGAAAUACGGGACAGUUUAUCAAACAUCCUACCACAGAGAAUUUUUCAAUUCCUUAAAUUGGAAGUGUAAUAAUAAGCAAGCCAGGUAUUUUGCCUCCUGACAGAGAGUACCCCACUUUCUAAGAAGCAGAUGGCCUGCCUGGUCCGUUCUGCUGGGACAGACUGCUAGGUAGUCUGUUCCCAGAAGAGGUUUAUCUUCAGACAUACCAGAGGAUCCACUGCACUCAACAUUCACUUCUCACAGGACAACAGUGUGACUGCUCCUCUGAAGACCCAACAGUCUGAAGGCCUCCCAGGAGAUCUGCUGCAUCCAGGGCAGCAAAUCAGCAGCCUCUCUGCCCCUCUGAAGACCCCACAGUUGGAAGGCCCUACAGGAGGGCUGGUACAGCCAGGGACACAGGCCUACCAGGAGACCUGUGGCAACCCAGGGACAAAAGAGGCAGACUCUAGAGUCACCCAGACCAGCAAACACUAGGGAUAACCAGAUGGUGAGAGGCAAGCACAAGACCAUAAGCAAUAGAAGCCAAUGUACGUGGGCAUCAUCAGAACCCAGUUCUCCCACCGCAGCAAGUCCUGAAUAUACUAACACACCUGAAAAUCAGAAAUCUGACCUAAAAUCCUAUCUCAUAAAGAUAAUAACGUCCUUUAAGGAAGAUAUAAAUAACUCAGUGAAAGAAAUACAGGUAAACAGGUAGAAGCCCUUAAAGAGGAAACAAAUAAAUCCCUUAAAGAAAUACAGGAAAACACAAACAGGUAAAGGAAUUGAAUAAAGUGGUCUAAGACCUAAAAGUGGAAGUAGAGACAAUAAAGAAAACACAAAUGGAGGCAAACCAGGAAAUGGAAAAACUAGGAAAGAGGUCAGGAAUUACAGAUGUAAGUAUCACCAGCAGAAUACAAAAGAUAGAAGAGAGAAUCUCAGGUGUAGAUACCAUAUAGGAGAUUAACACAACAGUCAAAGAAAAUUCAAAACAUAAAAAAUUUCUAACUCAAAACAUCCAGAAAAUUCGGACACAAUGAAAAGACCAAAUCUAAGAAUAAUUGGAAUAGAGGAGAACAAAGAAUUCCAGCUCAAAGGACCUGAAAAUGUCUUCAACAAAAUCAUAAAAGAAAACUUCCCCAACCUAAAGAAAGAGAUGGCUAUAAUUGUACAAGAAGCCUACAGAAUAACAAAUAACAAAUGGGACCAGAAAAGAAAAUCCUCUUGUCACAUAAUAGUCAAAACACUAAAUGCACAGAACAAAGAAGAAUAUUAAAAGCUGCAAGGGAAACAAGCCAACUAACAUACAAAGGCAGACCUAUCAGAAUUACACCAGACUUCUCAAUAGAAACUAUGAAAGCCAGAAGAGCCUAGUCAGAAGUCAUGCAGACUCCUAAGAGAACACAAAUACCAGUCCAGGUUAUUAUACCCAGCAAAACUCUCAAUCGACAUAGAUGGAGAAACAAAAAUGUUCCAGAAAAUAUUCAAAGGAAGCUUCAAUACCAGGAAGAUACCUAUACCAAAGAAAAGACAAGAUAUUAAGCAUCUCACGACAAAGCCAAAUGGAGAAAACCACAAGCACAUAAAGCUACCUACAAAAGCAAAUAUAAUAGGAACCAACAGUCAUCUGUCUUAAGUAUCUCUCAAUAUUAAUGGAUUCAACUCACCUAUAAAAAGACAUAAGCUAACAGACUGGAUACGCAAACAAGAUCCAGUAUUUUGCUGCAUACAAAAAACACACCUCAUUAACAAAGACAGACACUAUCUCAGAGUAAAAGAAUGAAAAAAGGUCUACCAAGUAAAUGGUCCUAAGAAACAAGCUGGAGUCGCCAUCUUAAUAUCAAAUAAAAUAGACUUUCAACCAAAAGUUAUCAAGAGUGAUGAGGAAGGACACUUCAUAUUCAUCAAAGGGAAAAAUCUACCAAGAGAAAAUAUCAAUUCUGAACAUCUAUGCCCCAAAUGGAAGGGCGGCCACAUUCAUAAAAGAAACUUUGGUAAAGUUCAAAACACGCAUUGAACACCACACGAUAAUAGUGGGGGACUUCAACACCCCACUCUCACCAAUCGACAGGUCAUUGAAACAGAAACUAAGCAGAGACACAGGGGAACUAAUAGAGGUUAUGAAACAAAUGGAUUUAACAUAUUUCCAGAACAUUUCAUCCUAAAACAAAAGAAUACACCUUCUUUUCACACAUCAUGGUAUCUUCUCCAAAACAGACCAUAUAAUUGGUCACAAAACAACCAUCAACCAAUACAAGAAGAUUGACAUAAUCCCAUGCACCCUAUCAAACCACCACAGCCUAAAGCUGGUCUUCAAUAACAGAAAAAGCAACAGAAAACCCACACACAUGUGGAAACUGAACAACUCUCUACUCAAUGAUAAUUUGAUCAAGGAUGAAAUAAAGAAAUUAGGGGUUGGGGAUUUGGCUCAGUGGUAGAGCGCUUGCCUAGGAAGCGCAAGGUCCUGGGUUCGGUCCCCAGCCCCAGAAAAAAAAAAGAAAUAAAGAAAUUAAAGAUGUCCUGGAAUUUAAUGAAAAUGUUGAUAUAUCAUACCCAAAUCUAUGGGCCACAAUGAAAGCAGUGCUAAGAGGAAAAUUCAUAGCACUAACAGCACACCUGAGAGCUCUAGAACAAAGAGAAGCAAAUUCACCCAAGAAGAGUAGACCACAGGAAAUAGUCAAACUCAGGGUUGAAAUCAACCAAAUAAGAGAACAAUACAAAGAAUCAGCAAAAACAAAAGUUGGUUCUUUAAGAGAAUCAACAAGAUAGAUAAACCCCUAGCCAAACUAACUAAAGGGCCCAGAGACAGUAUCCAAAUUAACAAAAUCAGAAAUGAAAAGGGAGGCAUAACAGAAAUGGAGGAAAUUCAAAAACUCAUCAGAUCCUACUACAAAAGCUUAUUAUCAACAAAACUGGAAAAUCUAGAUGAAAUGGAUAGUUUUCUAGACAGAUACCACAAACCAAAGUUAAAUCAAGAGCAGGUAAACGUUCUAAACAGGCCCAUAUCCCAUAAGGAAAUAGAAGUCAUUAAAAACCUCCCAACCAAAAGAAGGCCAGGGCCAGAUGGAUUUAGUUCAGAAUUCUACCAGACCUUCAAAGAAGACCUGAUACCAAUAUUCCUCAAACUAUUCCAUAAAAUAGAAACAGAAGGAACACUACCUAAUUCAUUCAAUGAAGCCACAAUUACUCUGAUACCUAAACCACACAAGGACCCUACCAAAAAAAAGAGAACUUCAGACCAAUCUGCUUAUGAAUAUUGAUGCAAAAAAUACUCAAUAAAAUCCUCACAACCCAAAUCCAAGAACUCAUCAAACCAUCAUUCACCACGAUCAAGCAGGCUUCAUCCCAGGGAUGAAGGGUGGUUCAAUAUAUGAAAAUCCAUUAACAUAAUCCACCAUAUAAACAAACUAAAAGAAAAAAAUCACAUGACCACCUCCUUAGAUGCAGAAAAAGCAUUUGAUAAAAUACAACACCCCUUCGUGUUAAAAGUAUUGAAGAGAUCAGGAAUUCAAGGCCCAUACCUAACAGCCAAUAUCAAAUUAAAUGGAGAGAUAACUUGAAGCUAUCCCACUAAAAUCUGGGACAAGACAAGGAUGCCCACUUUCCCCAUAACUAUUCAAUAUAGUACUCAAAGUACUAGCUAAAACAAUAAUACAACAAAAAGAGAUCAAGGGGAUACAAAUUGGCAAAAAAAGAGAAAGGUAUCACUAUUUGCAGCUGAUAUGAUAGUAUACAUAAGUGACUCCAAAUAUUCUACCAGAGAACUUCUCCAGCUGAUAAACAACUUCAGCAAAGUGGCCAGAUAUAAAAUUAACUCAAAUAAAUCAGUAGCCUUCCUUUAUACAAAUGAUGAACAGACUGAGAAAGAAAUUAGGGAAACAAUUCUCUUCCAAUAACCACAGAUAAUAUAAAAUAUCUUGGGUAACUCUAACCAAACAAGUGAAAGGCUUUUAUAAUAAGAACUUCAAGUCUCUCAAGAAAGAAAUCAAAGAUCUCAGAAAAUGGAGAGAGCCCCCAUGCUCAUGGAUUGGCAGAAUUAACAUAGUAAAAAUGGUCAUCCUACCAAAGGCAAUCUAUGGAUUCAAUGCAAUCCCCAUCAAAAUCCCAACACAAUUCUUCAAAGACAUGGAAAGAACAAUUCUCAAAUUCAUCUGGAAAGGCAAAAAACCCAGAAAAGCAAAAAUAAUUCUUAAUAAUAAAAGAAUGGCUGGGGGAAUCAUCAUUCUUGACCUCAAGCUCUACUUCAAAGCAAUAGUGAUAAAAACUACCUGGUAUUGGUACAGAGACAGGCAAGUUAAUGAAUGAAACAGAAUUGAAGACCCAGAAAUAAAACCACACACGUACACACACUUGAUCUCUGACAAAGAAGCCAAAAAUAUACAAUGGAUAAAAGAGAGCAUCUUCGAUAAAUGGUGCUGGUCUAAGUGGAUGUCUGUAUGUAGAAAAAUGAAACUAGACCCAUAUUUGUCACCAUGCACAAAGCUCAAGUCCAAGUGGGUCAAGAACCUCAACAUAAAACCAGAUGCCCUAAAUACAAUAGAAGAAAAAGUGGGAAAGAGCCUUGAACUCAUUGGCACAGGCAGAAUUUUCCUAAACGGAACUCCAAUGGCUCACACUCUAAGAUCAAGAAUUGAUAAAGAAAAUGUGGUUCAUUUACUCAGCUAUUAAGAACGAGGACAUCCUGAGUUUUGCAGGCAAAUGGAUAGAACUAGAAAAUGUCAUCCCAAGUGACAUAGCUCAGAUCCAAAAAGAAUUGCAUGGUAUGUUCUCACUAAUAAGUGGAUAGAAACAGUGGGAAAUGCUGCAGAAGACGGAGAUUCUUAGUUUAUAAGAAUACCAGAAUAUGCUAAUUACGAAGAUUAACCCCUCUGCCCUCCUUUUUUUUUUUCAUCAUGAUAAAUGCAAAGCCUACAAAAGCAAGGAAUAUUUUUGGGAGGCACACCAAGUGUAAAGUGUAGGUGAGUACUUUGCUUACAAAGGAGAAAGUUAAGCCACACUUAUAAAAGACCAGCAACAUCUUUUUUUUUUUAAUCUUCACUCUAUACUAGGGAAUUAGACUGAGAAGAAAAAAAUGUAACACCUUCAGUCAUAUUAUCAAAAAGUGACCUUCUCCGUCCACUAUCUCUGGGGCACAGCCCAUCUCCCAGUAAGGUUGCUGUCCCAGCUAAACGCAGAAAUGUAGUUAGGAAAAACUAAUUAACCAUUGGAAGGCACAUGGAAAAUCAAUAGAAGAAUAGAGUGACCUCCUUCUGCUUGUGGGCUCCUGUCCUCUCUUCCCAAGGGAAGGCAGAAUGAACAUCCAUACUGUGAAGAGUGAAGACGCCACCGUCAUCACCUUCCUCAUCUCUACAACGUGUCAUCACCAUGAAGGGGAGUCCACCCACAGCUGUGGUCACGGGUGUCACAGAGCAUCGCAGAACUGUGCAUGACCUCACUGAGAUGUCCCCCAGCAGCCAGGGGUGUGCUGAGGAGAGAAUAGUGCAAAGUAAGCCUAGUUUUCAGCAGUAAGAAUCCAAGAAAUGAAUUCCACACCGUGUCCUUAAAAUUGAUGUGUUUGGUGAAGAAAGAUAAAAGAUAUCUUUCAGAGCAUAAAGGUGCUCCUGACAGAGUCCCUACUCAUCUGCCUGGCCCCUCUCAAAGGCCUGGAGCUGGUCUUCCAUACUGGAUCAAAAGCAGUAGAAGAGAACCAACUCUUUCCAGACCAUGGUGAGAGCUUAGUGGACUCAUUCAGAUGUGUGGCUAAGUCUUUCAUGUACUGCUGGGUCCUUCUAUCACCUCUCAGAUUUAUCCACGCCCAAAAUGUGGGACUGGAGAUAUAGCUCAACAGUUAAGAACACUGGCUGCCCUUAGAGGGUGCUCAGUUCCCAGCACCCACGUGGUGACUCAACAUCUUUAACUUCAAUUCUAAGGAAUCCAAUGCCCUCUUCUAACCUCAGUGGACACCAGACAUGGUUCACAGCCAAACAUGCAGAAAAAAUUCAUACACACACAAAAUAAAAAUAAAUACUUUUUAAAAAA
This is a non-coding RNA of Rattus norvegicus (Norway rat), 6901 nucleotides long. Lineage: Eukaryota; Metazoa; Chordata; Mammalia; Rodentia; Muridae. The record is from RefSeq and is a predicted model, not a curated record.